UACGUAGGGUGCGAGCGUUAAUCGGAAUUACUGGGCGUAAAGCGUGCGCAGGCGGUUCGUUAUGUCCGAUGUGAAAGCCCCGAGCUUAACUUGGGAAUGGCAUUGGAAACUGGCGGACUAGAGUGUGGCAGAGGGGGGUGGAAUUCCACGUGUAGCAGUGAAAUGCGUAGAGAUGUGGAGGAACACCGAUGGCGAAGGCAGCCCCCUGGGCUAACACUGACGCUCAUGCACGAAAGCGUGGGGAGCAAACAGG
This 253-nucleotide ribosomal RNA is filed under the name uncultured bacterium. RNAcentral describes it as "partial 16S ribosomal RNA". It matches the Rfam family "Bacterial small subunit ribosomal RNA", at positions 524 to 776 of the family's 1533-position model. The record is from RNAcentral.